ACUAAGCGUACACGGUGGAUGCCUAGGCAGUCAGAGGCGAUGAAGGGCGUGCUAAUCUGCGAAAAGCGUCGGUAAGCUGAUAUGAAGCGUUAUAACCGACGAUACCCGAAUGGGGAAACCCAGUGCAAUACGUUGCACUAUCGUUAGAUGAAUACAUAGUCUAACGAGGCGAACCGGGGGAACUGAAACAUCUAAGUACCCCGAGGAAAAGAAAUCAACCGAGAUUCCCCCAGUAGCGGCGAGCGAACGGGGAGGAGCCCAGAGUCUGAAUCAGUUUGUGUGUUAGUGGAAGCGUCUGGAAAGUCGCACGGUACAGGGUGAUAGUCCCGUACACCAAAAUGCACAGGCUGUGAACUCGAUGAGUAGGGCGGGACACGUGACAUCCUGUCUGAAUAUGGGGGGACCAUCCUCCAAGGCUAAAUACUCCUGACUGACCGAUAGUGAACCAGUACCGUGAGGGAAAGGCGAAAAGAACCCCGGCGAGGGGAGUGAAAUAGAACCUGAAACCGUGUACGUACAAGCAGUGGGAGCACCUUCGUGGUGUGACUGCGUACCUUUUGUAUAAUGGGUCAGCGACUUAUAUUUUGUAGCAAGGUUAACCGAAUAGGGGAGCCGUAGGGAAACCGAGUCUUAACUGGGCGUCUAGUUGCAAGGUAUAGACCCGAAACCCGGUGAUCUAGCCAUGGGCAGGUUGAAGGUUGGGUAACACUAACUGGAGGACCGAACCGACUAAUGUUGAAAAAUUAGCGGAUGACUUGUGGCUGGGGGUGAAAGGCCAAUCAAACCGGGAGAUAGCUGGUUCUCCCCGAAAGCUAUUUAGGUAGCGCCUCGUGAACUCAUCUUCGGGGGUAGAGCACUGUUUCGGCUAGGGGGCCAUCCCGGCUUACCAAACCGAUGCAAACUCCGAAUACCGAAGAAUGUUAUCACGGGAGACACACGGCGGGUGCUAACGUCCGUCGUGAAGAGGGAAACAACCCAGACCGCCAGCUAAGGUCCCAAAGUCAUGGUUAAGUGGGAAACGAUGUGGGAAGGCACAGACAGCCAGGAUGUUGGCUUAGAAGCAGCCAUCAUUUAAAGAAAGCGUAAUAGCUCACUGGUCGAGUCGGCCUGCGCGGAAGAUGUAACGGGGCUAAACCAUGCACCGAAGCUGCGGCAGCGACACUUAGGUGUUGUUGGGUAGGGGAGCGUUCUGUAAGCCGUUGAAGGUGACCUGUGAGGGUUGCUGGAGGUAUCAGAAGUGCGAAUGCUGACAUAAGUAACGAUAAUGCGGGUGAAAAACCCGCACGCCGGAAGACCAAGGGUUCCUGUCCAACGUUAAUCGGGGCAGGGUGAGUCGACCCCUAAGGCGAGGCUGAAAAGCGUAGUCGAUGGGAAACAGGUUAAUAUUCCUGUACUUGGUGUUACUGCGAAGGGGGGACGGAGAAGGCUAGGCUGGCCGGGCGACGGUUGUCCCGGUUUAAGCGUGUAGGGGGAGUGACCAGGUAAAUCCGGUUGCUUAUCAACCCUGAGGCGUGAUGACGAUGCACCACGGUGCAGAAGCAGUUGAUGCCAUGCUUCCAGGAAAAGCCUCUAAGCAUCAGGUAACAUUAAAUCGUACCCCAAACCGACACAGGUGGUCAGGUAGAGAAUACUCAGGCGCUUGAGAGAACUCGGGUGAAGGAACUAGGCAAAAUGGUGCCGUAACUUCGGGAGAAGGCACGCUGGCGUUAGGUGAAAGGACUAGCUCCUGGAGCUGAAGCCAGUCGCAGAUACCAGCUGGCUGCAACUGUUUAAUAAAAACACAGCACUGUGCAAACACGAAAGUGGACGUAUACGGUGUGACGCCUGCCCGGUGCUGGAAGGUUAAUUGAUGGGGUCAGCCGCAAGGCGAAGCUCUUGAUCGAAGCCCCAGUAAACGGCGGCCGUAACUAUAACGGUCCUAAGGUAGCGAAAUUCCUUGUCGGGUAAGUUCCGACCUGCACGAAUGGCGUAAUGAUGGCCAGGCUGUCUCCACCCGAGACUCAGUGAAAUUGAACUCGCUGUGAAGAUGCAGUGUACCCGCGGCAAGACGGAAAGACCCCGUGAACCUUUACUAUAGCUUGACACUGAACAUUGAGCCUUGAUGUGUAGGAUAGGUGGGAGGCCUUGAAGUGUGGACGCCAGUCUGCAUGGAGCCAACCUUGAAAUACCACCCUUUAAUGUUUGAUGUUCUAACUCGGCCCCAUGAUCUGGGGUGAGGACAGUGUCUGGUGGGUAGUUUGACUGGGGCGGUCUCCUCCCAAAGAGUAACGGAGGAGCACGAAGGUUAGCUAAUCACGGUCGGACAUCGUGAGGUUAGUGCAAAGGCAUAAGCUAGCUUGACUGCGAGAGUGACGGCUCGAGCAGGUACGAAAGUAGGUCUUAGUGAUCCGGUGGUUCUGAAUGGAAGGGCCAUCGCUCAACGGAUAAAAGGUACUCCGGGGAUAACAGGCUGAUACCGCCCAAGAGUUCAUAUCGACGGCGGUGUUUGGCACCUCGAUGUCGGCUCAUCACAUCCUGGGGCUGAAGUAGGUCCCAAGGGUAUGGCUGUUCGCCAUUUAAAGUGGUACGCGAGCUGGGUUUAGAACGUCGUGAGACAGUUCGGUCCCUAUCUGCCGUGGGCGUUGGAAGAUUGAGAGGGGCUGCUCCUAGUACGAGAGGACCGGAGUGGACGAAUCACUGGUGUUCGGGUUGUCAUGCCAAUGGCAUUGCCCGGUAGCUAAAUUCGGAAGAGAUAACCGCUGAAAGCAUCUAAGCGGGAAACUUGCCUCGAGAUGAGUCUUCCCUGGGGCUUAAAGCCCCCUGAAGGAACGUUAAAGACUAUGACGUUGAUAGGCUGGGUGUGUAAGUGCAGCGAUGUAUUGAGCUAACCAGUACUAAUGAUCCGUGAGGCUUAACC
This 2896-nucleotide ribosomal RNA is filed under the name Yersinia pestis. RNAcentral describes it as "bacterial LSU rRNA". It matches the Rfam family "Bacterial large subunit ribosomal RNA". The record is from RNAcentral. Lineage: Bacteria; Pseudomonadati; Pseudomonadota; Gammaproteobacteria; Enterobacterales; Yersiniaceae.